UACUUAGUGGCAGACGGGUGAGUAACAUGUGGGUAUCUACCCUUUGGCCUGGAAUAACACGAGGAAACUUGUGCUAAUACCGGAUAAGUCUUUACGGAGAAAGCUUUAUGCACCAUUGGAUGAGCCCGCACUUGAUUAGUUUGUUGGUAGGGUAAUGGCCUACCAAGACUAUGAUCAAUAGCUGAUUUGAGAGGAUGAUCAGCCACAUUGGGACUGAGACACGGCCCAAACUCCUACGGGAGGCAGCAGUGGGGAAUCUUGCACAAUGGAGGAAACUCUGAUGCAGCGAUGCCGCGUGAGUGAAGAAGGCCUUUGGGUUGUAAAGCUCUUUCGUCGGGGAAGAAAAUGACUGUACCCGAAUAAGAAGGUCCGGCUAACUUCGUGCCAGCAGCCGCGGUAAUACGAAGGGACCUAGCGUAGUUCGGAAUUACUGGGCUUAAAGAGUUCGUAGGUGGUUGAAAAAGUUGGUGGUGAAAUCCCAGAGCUUAACUCUGGAACUGCCAUCAAAACUUUUCAGCUAGAGUAUGAUAGAGGA
This 535-nucleotide ribosomal RNA is filed under the name uncultured Pelagibacterales bacterium. RNAcentral describes it as "bacterial SSU rRNA". It matches the Rfam family "Bacterial small subunit ribosomal RNA", at positions 89 to 658 of the family's 1533-position model. The record is from RNAcentral. Lineage: Bacteria; Pseudomonadati; Pseudomonadota; Alphaproteobacteria; Candidatus Pelagibacterales.